UGGAGAAGAUACGCAAGAAAG
Molecule: microRNA, 21 nt
Filed under: Arabidopsis thaliana (thale cress)
Lineage: Eukaryota; Viridiplantae; Streptophyta; Magnoliopsida; Brassicales; Brassicaceae
Description: ath-miR835-3p
Gene: ath-miR835-3p
Source: miRBase by way of RNAcentral